RNAcentral lists this unclassified non-coding RNA (327 nucleotides) under soil metagenome. RNAcentral describes it as "partial contains 5.8S ribosomal RNA, internal transcribed spacer 2, and large subunit ribosomal RNA". The stretch from base 1 to 119 matches the Rfam family "5.8S ribosomal RNA", at positions 35 to 154 of the family's 154-position model. The record is from RNAcentral.
GAUGAAGAAGUAGCGAAAUGCGAUAAGUAGUGUGAAUUGCAGAAUUCAGUGAAUCAUCGAAUCUUUGAACGCACAUUGCGCCCCUUGGUAUCCCGAGGGGCAUGCCUGUUCGAGCGUCAUUUCACCACUCAAGCCUGGCUUGGUGUUGGGCGACGUCCCCUUUGGGGACGCGCCUCGAAACGCUCGGCGGCGUGGCACCGGCUUUAAGCGUAGCAGAAUCUUUCGCUUUGGAAGUCGGGGCCCCGUCUGCCGGAAGACCUACUCGCAAGGUUGACCUCGGAUCAGGCAGGGAUACCCGCUGAACUUAAGCAUAUCAUAAGCGGAGGA